This 249-nucleotide ribosomal RNA is filed under the name uncultured bacterium. Its description in RNAcentral is "partial 16S ribosomal RNA". It matches the Rfam family "Bacterial small subunit ribosomal RNA", at positions 29 to 303 of the family's 1533-position model. The record is from RNAcentral.
AACGAACGCUGGCGGCAGGCCUAACACAUGCAAGUCGAACGCCGUAGCAAUACGGAGUGGCAGACGGGUGAGUAACACGUGGGAACGUACCCUUCGGUUCGGAAUAACGUCAGGGAAACUUGAGCUAAUACCGGAUACGUCCGAGAGGAGAAAGAUUUAUCGCCGAGGGAUCGGCCCGCGUCUGAUUAGCUUGUUGGUGAGGUAACGGCUCACCAAGGCGACGAUUCAGUAGCUGGUCNGAGAGGAUGA